GCCUCUGUAGCUCAGUGGCAGUGCAAUGGUCUUGUGAAACAAGGGUCGUGAGUUAAAUCCUCACAGGAAGCA
Molecule: non-coding RNA, 72 nt
Organism: Acanthoscelides obtectus
Lineage: Eukaryota; Metazoa; Arthropoda; Insecta; Coleoptera; Chrysomelidae
Source: the annotation of a GenBank genome assembly